This is a long non-coding RNA of Drosophila yakuba, 642 nucleotides long. RefSeq lists it as uncharacterized. The transcript is spliced from 2 exons. The record is from RefSeq and is a predicted model, not a curated record. Lineage: Eukaryota; Metazoa; Arthropoda; Insecta; Diptera; Drosophilidae.
CCAAUCAAGUGCGCGCAUGCGCAACGCUUUUCGAGUUUUCUUUGCCACUUUUCGAUAUUCGGUUUUCGCAAUUGCAGGCGGGUUGCGAACCUGGCUAAGCUUCUGGCAAAUUCUAGUCAUUGGGCAAUUGGCAAUUGGCAGCACAAUACAAAUGGCUAACAAAACGCAGUGCGAAGUCAAUAAACCUUAUUAGCCUGCAUAUCCAACAACAGUUGCACAAAGAGGCAGCCAGCAUAGAGAACUUAGUGGCAAAAUGGGAGCGGCGAUAAAACAAAUGCAAUUUUUAUCGCAAUGCCUAGCUGUGCGUAUAUGUAUGCAUUUAGUUAUUUAACACACGUCCGCAGAGCUGAAUAAAGUGCAGCAGCGAUGAGAGCCGGGCGACCACAACAAAACCUUCAGCGGAUUGAGCCUCCAUACUCCAAGUCCCGCCCCUUUUACCGCCCAGCCGUCCGAGUCAACGAACCCCAAUGUAAGCAGGCAGUAAAAGUCCGUUCAUCGUUUUUCCCGCGGCAUUUUAGGCGGUGAAGCUGGUGGUGGGAAAAAAAUACAUAGUAGUGGUAAUAAACAAUAAACAAGGCAGCUCAUCAUCGUUGUUGCUGCAGCUGAUAGUGCAAAUAUCCACAAUAAAGAGCAAACAAUCAA